This 549-nucleotide ribosomal RNA is filed under the name uncultured archaeon. RNAcentral's name for it is "bacterial SSU rRNA". It matches the Rfam family "Archaeal small subunit ribosomal RNA", at positions 325 to 872 of the family's 1478-position model. The record is from RNAcentral.
ACGGGGUGUGACAGCAGGGCGCGAAACCUUCGCAAUGCGCGAAAGCGUGACGAGGUUAAUCCGAGUGAUUUCCGCUGAGGAGAUCUUUUGUCAGCUAUAAAUAGGCAGGCGAAUAAGGGGAGGGCAAGCCUGGUGUCAGCCGCCGCGGUAAUACCAGCUCCUCGAGUGGUCGGGGCGAUUAUUGGGCCUAAAGCAUCCGUAGCCGGUUCCGUAGGUCCUCUGUUAAAUCCAACCGCUCAACGGUUGACCUGCCGAGGAUACCGCGAGACUAGGAGGCGGGAGAGGCGGACGGUACUCCGCGUGUAGGGGUAAAAUCCUUUGAUCCGCGGAAGACCACCAGUGGCGAAGGCGGUCCGCCAGAACGCGCUCGACGGUGAGGGACGAAAGCUGGGGGAGCGAACCGGAUUAGAUACCCGGGUAGUCCCAGCCGUAAACGAUGCUAGCUAGAUGAUUCAUUCGCAAGUCGCGAAUGAAGUGUCGCAGGGAAGCCGUUAAGCUAGCCGCCUGGGGAGUACGGUCGCAAGACUGAAACUUAAAGGAAUUGGCGGG